UGACCCAAAGAGAACACUCUAGCCCAGAAGCUAUCAACUCAACCUCUCGACGGCUCCUAGAGCAACUAAAGAAAGAGAAAAACACUAGGGUUCACAAAAACAUACACAUCAGAACAUUCAAAAGUGAGCAUACCUGGCACCACCAUGUUCGAUGUGUCUGCCUCCUGCUGAGCUUGGGUGAAGAUCCGAGCUGAAGCUGACGGACCUUCUCCACGGGAACC
RNAcentral lists this long non-coding RNA (221 nucleotides) under Manihot esculenta (cassava). RNAcentral's name for it is "long non-coding RNA (MESC_LNC004589)". Lineage: Eukaryota; Viridiplantae; Streptophyta; Magnoliopsida; Malpighiales; Euphorbiaceae. The record is from RNAcentral.